GUGACGCCCACGCGUGACUUGUUUUUCAAUGCGAGAAGACCGGGAGAAAUUGGGAACGAGAAACAAUGCAACAUGGCGGAAAAGACGAAUAGCUUUUAGCGAAGAUUACGUACUUUGUCACCAGUUACCGAACAAAAGUGGGAUAUUUGAUCUGAAUUGCCUUCAAAAGAUGCCCUCUCUCGCCUUGUGAUGUUUAUUUGCAACAAAAGUGGUCACAGCGCCUGCAAAGACAGAAGAUGGAGAGCCAAACUGAUGCAACAUGCUAAAGACUGCAUUGGUUAGUACAGCAGUAAACCAUUGUAUCAUGCAGGCCUUGGUAGGUGGAUGUGGACAAACUCAGGAAGGUGGCCUGUGGAUAAGCUAUGGUAUAUGAUCUGUGGACAAGCUAUGGUAGGUGACCUGUGAAUAGCUAUGGACAAGCCUUUGGACAGUUCAUCAUGAUCAGAGGAGGAUUGUAGAUCUGGGAUAAGAGUGGCCAGAGUAUGAUGAGGCUAAAAAGAAUGUGCUAGAUUUGAUGGUUGAAACUAUGACAGCAGGAUUUUCUCCCACCUGCACACGCUACUGUGGUGUUACUCGGCUGUGGAAAGUUCUGUGGCCGUUUAGGUCUCCUAACUUGGUUUACAAGCUUCAGGAUUAAUGAAAAUUUUGUUGAAG
Pocillopora damicornis (cauliflower coral) is the source of this 654-nucleotide long non-coding RNA. RefSeq lists it as uncharacterized. Lineage: Eukaryota; Metazoa; Cnidaria; Anthozoa; Scleractinia; Pocilloporidae. The record is from RefSeq and is a predicted model, not a curated record.